Long non-coding RNA from Podarcis muralis (Common wall lizard), 888 nucleotides. RefSeq lists it as uncharacterized. Lineage: Eukaryota; Metazoa; Chordata; Lepidosauria; Squamata; Lacertidae. The record is from RefSeq and is a predicted model, not a curated record.
GAGCCCCACGGACCCACACAGUAUUUUUUUAUUAUUAUUAUUUCGCAUUUCCAGAAACGCCCACCCAUGCCUCCGACAAGAAAAUAAUCAAACAGCACAAUGUCCCACUGGAAAUGGAGUUCAUGCUUAAGGGAAAUGAGUCUUAAUAAAGGAAGACAAUGUCCCUAAGCAGAUGUGAGAAGGGUCAUCUCAACCUGCUCUGAACCUAUGGGGCAGUGUGACACCUAACGCAACUUCUAAUGAAAAAGUGUGUGAACUGACUCAUUGACCUGCUGCUUGCUUGUGAGAAAGCUUGCAGCUCUACAAUGGGGGAACAAUCCUUGUCUCCAAGAGUCUGUUCAACUUUAACAGCUGACGUACCAGGAAGCAGAACAGAACAGAACAUUGGCACCUGAGCUGCCUUUAUCUAAGCCAGCCUUCGCCAGCAUGGUUGGCACUAAGGUCUGCUGCCCUCCGAAACGAAACCAUAUGUCCACCACACUAUCACAAGGAAUUCUAGGAAAGCCAGCAUAAGCCACUCACUAUCUAAAGAGCUGGACCAGGUUGCAGCAAAAUUCAGUGCAAGUUCCACCUCUAUAAGUUCCUCCCAGUUGCGGUUUCCCAUAUGUAUAGAAUUAGAUUAUCAGUGAAUCUGAUUAAAACUGCGAGGUGUCGUGUAAAUUAUAAAUGCUUUCUACAUAUCAUAAAUAGUAACGUUCUCAGAAUGUUUUCAUGCAUUGGAUAAAUCCCAGAAGCAAGCAGGGUUCCUCAAGAGAGAUGGGUGGCGUGCUCAAGAAAAAGUGGGCUCUCUAUGAGGUGGUGCAAGUCAAAAUGGGGAGCACUGCAAGCACUUCAAGGUAAACUGGCAAUCCAGACAGGGGGAUGCGGGGAAGUUUCAGGCUGGAAUCU